This 468-nucleotide ribosomal RNA is filed under the name uncultured bacterium. RNAcentral's name for it is "partial 16S ribosomal RNA". It matches the Rfam family "Bacterial small subunit ribosomal RNA", at positions 28 to 507 of the family's 1533-position model. The record is from RNAcentral.
GACGAACGCUGGCGGCGUGCUUAACACAUGCAAGUCGAACGGAAAGGCCCUGCUUUUGUGGGGUGCUCGAGUGGCGAACGGGUGAGUAACACGUGAGUAACCUGCCCUUGACUUUGGGAUAACUUCAGGAAACUGGGGCUAAUACCGGAUAGGAGCUCCUGCUGCAUGGUGGGGGUUGGAAAGUUUCUGCGGGUGGGGAUGGACUCGCGGCUUAUCAGCUUGUUGGUGGGGUAGUGGCUUACCAAGGCUUUGACGGGUAGCCGGCCUGAGAGGGUGACCGGCCACAUUGGGACUGAGGUACGGCCCAGACUCCUACGGGGGGCAGCAGUGGGGAAUAUUGCACAAUGGGCGGAAGCCUGAUGCAGCAACCCCGCGUGCGGGAUGACGGCCUUCGGGUUGUAAACCGCUUUCGCCUGUGACGAAGCGUGAGUGACGGUAAUGGGUAAAGAAGCACCGGCUAACUACGUG